CAGUCGUUAUAUGACUGACGGAAUGAGUGGAGAACCACGUGGAGUAUAACAUGGCAGUUUUAUUGGCUGCCGAAGAAUGCAAUGUCUCUUCGAGGCAUCGCAGGCGAUGCUUCAGAGAAGCGUUGCAAUUGCCGACCGUCUGGGCAACAAAA
RNAcentral lists this non-coding RNA (152 nucleotides) under Roseburia sp. CAG:197. RNAcentral describes it as "ZMP/ZTP riboswitch aptamer (pfl RNA motif)". It matches the Rfam family "ZMP/ZTP riboswitch aptamer (pfl RNA motif)". Rfam says of the family: Previously known as pfl RNA. ZMP is also known as AICAR. RNAcentral also lists the same sequence under 1 other name. Lineage: Bacteria; Bacillati; Bacillota; Clostridia; Lachnospirales; Lachnospiraceae. The record is from Rfam by way of RNAcentral.